RNAcentral lists this ribosomal RNA (253 nucleotides) under uncultured bacterium. Its description in RNAcentral is "partial 16S ribosomal RNA". It matches the Rfam family "Bacterial small subunit ribosomal RNA", at positions 524 to 776 of the family's 1533-position model. The record is from RNAcentral.
UACGUAGGUGGCAAGCGUUACUCGGAAUCACUAGGCGUAAAGCGCAGGUAGGCGGUUUGAUAAGUCUGUUGUGAAAGCUCCUGGCUCAACUGGGAGAGGUCAACGGAAACUGUCAAGCUAGAGUGUGGUAGAGGAAACUGGAAUUCCUGGUGUAGCGGUGAAAUGCGUAGAUAUCAGGAGGAACACCUAUGGCGAAAGCAGGUUUCUGGGCCAUCACUGACGCUGAGCUGCGAAAGCUAGGGGAGCAAACAGG